CUGGGUGUAAAGGGAGUGUAGGCGGGGCUUCAAGUCCGUUGUGAAACCGAUCGGCUCAACUGAUCGUUGCGGCGGAAACUGGAGUUCUUGAGUGAGGUAGAGGCAGGCGGAAUUCCCAGUGUAGCGGUGAAAUGCGUAGAUAUUGGGAGGAACACCAGUGGCGAAGGCGGCCUGCUGGGCCUUAACUGACGCUGAGGCUCGAAAGUGUGGGGAGCAAACAGGAUUAGAUACCCUGGUAGUCCACACUGUAAACGAUGAUUACUAGGUGUGGGGGGACUGACCCCUUCCGUGCCGGAGUGAACACAAUAAGUAAUCCACCUGGGGAGUACGACCGCAAGGUUGAAACUCAAAGGAAUUGACGGGGGCCCGCACAAGCAGUGGAGUAUGUGGUUUAAUUCGAAGCAACGCGAAGAACCUUACCAGGUCUUGACAUCGUGUGCAUAGCGUGGAGACACGUGAAGCCCUUCGGGGCACACAGACAGGUGGUGCAUGGUUGUCGUCAGCUCGUGUCGUGAGAUGUUGGGUUAAGUCCCGCAACGAGCGCAACCCUUACGAUUAGUUACUACGAAAGAGGACUCUAAUAGGACUGCCGUUGACAAAACGGAGGAAGGUGGGGAUGACGUCAAAUCAU
RNAcentral lists this ribosomal RNA (631 nucleotides) under uncultured bacterium. RNAcentral's name for it is "bacterial SSU rRNA". It matches the Rfam family "Bacterial small subunit ribosomal RNA", at positions 554 to 1193 of the family's 1533-position model. The record is from RNAcentral.